GACGAACGCUGGCGGCGUGCUUAACACAUGCAAGUCGAACGGAAAGGCCUGCUUUCCCUGGUGGUUUGGGGGCACACGGGUGGGGAACGGGUGAGUAACAUGUGAGUGACUUGCCCCCAACUUGGGUAAAAGCCGGGGAAACUGGGUCAAAUUCCCGUUAGGCCUGCAGGGUGGUGCCUGGGUUGGAAAACGAUUUUCUGGUGGUUGGGGUUGAGUCCGCGGCCUAUCAGCUUGUUGGUGGGGUAAUGGCCUACCAAGGCGGCGUCGGGUGGCCGGCCUGGGAGGGUGGACGGCGACAGUGGGACUGAGAAACGGCCCAGACUCCUGCGGGAGGCAGCAGUGGGGGAUAGUGCACAGUGGGCGGAAGCCUGAUGCAACGACGCCGCGUGGGGGAUGACGGCCUUCGGGUUGUAAACUCCUUUCGACCGCGGGGAAGCCACCUGGUUGGAAGGGUGGUGACGGUGGUGGUAGAAGAAGCACCGGCUAACUACGUG
Molecule: ribosomal RNA, 494 nt
Filed under: uncultured bacterium
Lineage: Bacteria
Description: partial 16S ribosomal RNA
Rfam family: Bacterial small subunit ribosomal RNA
Source: RNAcentral